GGAUGUGAGGGUGAUCUGGCUGUGACACCUGUCAACCCCCCCCCCCCACAUCACCAGGGUUGAUUCGCCUGAUCUGGCUGGCUAGGCAGUGUCUCCUUACUUUCUCACCACUCCCUGCGUGUCCCUCCCAAAGCUGCAUGUUUGACCAAAACUAGGAUGACCAUCCCCAAUAGAGGAGUAAGUAUACAAGUAGUUAUGCCCCCCUGCUAGAACCUCCAAACACACUCUCAAAAAUUAAAGAGAUGGAAGUGGUACAGUGGCUCAAGAGGUAGAGCACUAGCCUUGAGCUGAAG
Unclassified non-coding RNA from Dipodomys ordii (Ord's kangaroo rat), 293 nucleotides. Its record names the gene 7SK. It matches the Rfam family "7SK RNA". From Rfam's summary of the family: 7SK was discovered as an abundant small nuclear RNA in the mid-70s but a possible function has only recently been suggested. Two independent studies have found that 7SK RNA binds the CDK9/cyclin T complex (known as elongation factor P-TEFb). Lineage: Eukaryota; Metazoa; Chordata; Mammalia; Rodentia; Heteromyidae. The record is from Ensembl.